UAAUACAGAGGGUGCAAGCGUUAAUCGGAUUUACUGGGCGUAAAGCGCGCGUAGGUGGCCAAUUAAGUCAAAUGUGAAAUCCCCGAGCUUAACUUGGGAAUUGCAUUCGAUACUGGUUGGCUAGAGUAUGGGAGAGGAUGGUAGAAUUCCAGGUGUAGCGGUGAAAUGCGUAGAGAUCUGGAGGAAUACCGAUGGCGAAGGCAGCCAUCUGGCCUAAUACUGACACUGAGGUGCGAAAGCAUGGGGAGCAAACAGG
Molecule: ribosomal RNA, 256 nt
Filed under: uncultured archaeon
Lineage: Archaea
Description: partial 16S ribosomal RNA
Rfam family: Bacterial small subunit ribosomal RNA
Source: RNAcentral